Molecule: long non-coding RNA, 1478 nt
Organism: Vespa crabro (European hornet)
Lineage: Eukaryota; Metazoa; Arthropoda; Insecta; Hymenoptera; Vespidae
Exons: 2
Source: RefSeq, a predicted model, not a curated record
GAGAAAGAGAGAGAGAGAGAGAGAGAGAGAGAGAGAGAGAGAGAGAGAAAGAGAGAAAGACAGAAAUAAAAUGUUAGAAUUGCAAUACAGGUAAGAAUUUUUUUAUUUGUGAUAAUUACUAAGAUAUCUGAGAUAACAUCUUCUCUCUCUCUCUCUCUUUCUCUCUAUCUAUCUAUCUAUCUAUUUAUCUAUUUAUCUAUCUAUCUAUCUAUCUAUCUAUCUAUCUAUCUAUCUAUCUAUCUAUCUAUCUAUCUAUCUAUCUCCUUCUAUCGUUCAUUAAUUAGUUACUCAAGGAAAACAAGUGAGCAAAAAAGAUGUCAUUUGAAAACAUGUAUACAUCAUAGUUUCUAUCGACAUGAAUAUAUAUACUCAUAACUAGUGACUGAUAACGCGAUCUCGUUAAUAUCGUCUUGUUUGUCUUUUUUUCUACUUUCAAUUUUCCUUUUUUUUUCUUUUUCUUUUUUCUUCUUCUUUUUUUUUUUUUUUUUUUUUAAUAAAAUGCAGAACAUAUAUGUAUCAUCAAUUUCACGUUGUUAAAAUGGUAUUGCAUUCUUGGACAUGAUAUAUACCAUACAUAGGGUACAUGUAAAAAUAUAAAAAUAUAAAAAUAUAUGACACCGAAUCAUAUUUUUCUCAUAUAUGAAUAGAAUAGUGCGAAAUAGAUGGAAUCUCUUCUAUUAUUUAUUGACCGUCGGUACUAUGCACGCGAUGUGAAAAUUAUUUCUGGUUAAAAAUAUAACGCGAUCCGUUCUUUUCAUUUUUCGAAUAACUAAGUCGAAACAAGUGGUAAUGAAAAUUCGUUUAUGAUAACGGAAAAAAAGAAGAAAAAUCGAUUAUGGUAAGAAUUUAUAUAAUACGAUGAAAUGGGGAAAAAGAAUUAAAAGAAAACAAAGGAGAGAGAGAGAGAGAGAGAGAAAGAAAGAGAUGGACGGAUGAUAUUUUUACUAGUGGAAAAAUAGUACGUCGUAAGUAAACUGGUUACUCGAUCGACCUUUUAUGAUUGUAUCCUAUGGUUUGUGACGUUAGAAGAAGAUGACGUAAUACACGAAGAAUUUCUCACGGAAGAAUUUCUCACGAAAGAAAUUACUGUCUCUCUCAUUUUAUUUCUCAUUUUUCAUCAUCUGACCUUUCCAAAAGAAUUAAUAAAAAAAAAAAAAAACUAACUUAAAAUAAUCUUUAAGAACAUCUUCAGUGAAUGAGAUCAAUAUUUAAAUCCCUCUACUUACUGACAUCGUUAGAUCACUGAUCGAACAGUUUUCGGCGUACGGUAAGAAAGAAACAAAAAAAAAAAGAAAAAAGAAAGAAAAGUAAAAUAGAAAAGACGAAAAAAACGAAGGAAACAAAACUAAAACAAGAGAGGUGAAAUAACUGGAAAUACGAGCGGCAUUCCUACCAUCCCUUUUUCCUUCUUCUUUUCUUUUCUUUUUUUUUUUCUUCUCUCUGAAAUAUAAUUCGAAACUGUGCUUGUGUUAUGUAAA